AAGAAGUACUAUAAAAAUAAGUUUGUACACCACAAUAUUGAGCUGUGUUACAUAACAGAAAGUAAAAUAAAACUCUACCUUUAUUUUCUUUUUGGAAAGAAUGCAAUUUCACUUCAAGUCUGGUUUGUCUUGCUCUGGGGGCACUUGGAUGGAGCAGCCCAGCGAAAACAAGUUUAGUGUCGCGAGAAGCUUAUUGGGCUAAGAACAAGAAGCUCCGGAAUUUCUGAGUUCUUCUGUCCAUCAUAAAAGGAAGUAUCACUUGGGCUUUAGAAGCCAAACACAUUCCAUUUCACAGGUGCUGCCUGAUGCUGGUCAGGUAGGGAAAGUGGCUUGUAACAAGCCCAUGGAGCUGACUCACUGAGCCUCUGUGACAGAGAAGGGUUGUAGUAUCAGCUCUGCAUCCAGAAGGUUACAUGUUCAAUCCCUGGCAUCUCCAGAGGGCUGGACUCCUGGACACCUGGGAUAGGACAAGAUAGCCUGCCUGGCUUCCAUUCAUCCUGGGAGCCUUACAUGAACACUCUCCUGCUGCAUCCUCUAUCAGUAGCAACUAGGGUCCUCCAACUGGUGUUAGCCUUCAGCUUCCAGAAGUUCCAAAUAGCACAGCCAAUGGACAUGGAUGAUAAGAAUUGUCCAACAACAUCAGUGGGGGUUACAUAUUUCCCAUCCCUGAACUCAGGAGAAACAAACAAAUCUCUCUCAACAGCUGGGUUUAGGGACUGGAAGACAGGCAUUGUAAGAGAGAUGGGGCUGGAGAAGUGAUGGGGUAAACAGAGGGAGAAUGUUUUAAAGGACUCCAUUGGUUCACGUUCCCUCCUCUGUUUAGUGGUUAAGUGGGGAAAACUCUCAUGGAUUCUGCACAAGGGCUACUAAAAUUCUAGAACACAUCUUGUUCCUGCCCUUUUCUUUCUGGAUGCUUCCAGGCUGUGGCUAUUUUGGGCUGGAAUUUGAUCAUAUACUGAAAAAUUCAGGUUACACAAAGCUAGCUGGCUUACACAACAAAUCUGCUUCCCCCAAAGAGCAGACUUUCUCCUAUUUGCAUUGGUAAAAUGUGAAAUAGCACUUGCUUUGAUACCAUUUCAUCUAACCUCCCUGCAAACAAAUCAGGACAAAUGUUCAUUAAACAGGCAGGUCAUCUGAA
This is a long non-coding RNA of Podarcis raffonei (Aeolian wall lizard), 1138 nucleotides long. RefSeq lists it as uncharacterized. Lineage: Eukaryota; Metazoa; Chordata; Lepidosauria; Squamata; Lacertidae. The transcript has 2 exons. The record is from RefSeq and is a predicted model, not a curated record.